CGGCUUGAUGAUGAUGAUCUUGUGUCAUACAUACUUACAGGGCUUGAUACUAAGUACAAUCCACUCAUUUAAGCUAUUAGUGCAAGAGUUGAUGAUGUUAGCUUGAGUGAUCUAUACGCUCAGCUAUUGUCCAUUGAAG
Small nucleolar RNA from Phragmites australis (common reed), 139 nucleotides. RefSeq annotates it as small nucleolar RNA Z247. Lineage: Eukaryota; Viridiplantae; Streptophyta; Magnoliopsida; Poales; Poaceae. The transcript has a single exon. The record is from RefSeq and is a predicted model, not a curated record.